This 9280-nucleotide long non-coding RNA is filed under the name Lactuca sativa (garden lettuce). RNAcentral describes it as "long non-coding RNA (LSAT_LNC000790)". The record is from RNAcentral. Lineage: Eukaryota; Viridiplantae; Streptophyta; Magnoliopsida; Asterales; Asteraceae.
GAGUAAACUCAUGGAUAAGCAUGAGUUUACAGAUUUUGGGAUGAUUUUUCGACCCAAAUGAAAUAGUUUGGCCGGGAACUUCUAAGACACGCGGUGUUUGCGGGUUUUAAAUUUCAAAACCCGAGACGACACUUUCUUACACCCGUUCGUUUAAAGAAUAAUAUUAAAAUAAUCAAACGAACUCCAAAUUUGUUAAAAUAAGAAAUAAUGACGUUAACUUAUAAUAAGAAGUGAUUGACUUCUAGGGUUUGACCGAAUGAAAAUUCCGAGUUGUCACAUCAUCCCCCCGUUAAAGGGAAUUUUGUCCUGAAAUUAAAGUCUAAGCAAAUAACGUAUUUACGGUAACUAAGNCGUAUUUACAGGUAACUAAGGAAAAAGAUGAGGAUAUUUUCGUUUCAUCUGAUCCUCUCGUUCCCAAGUGAAUUAUGGUCCUCGUUUUGCAUUCCAGCGAACCUUCACUAUUGGGAUACGGCUUUGUUUUGUUUGCUUGACUUCUCGGUCCAUGAUCUCUAUUGGUUCCUCCACGAAGUUGAGGCUCUCGUUAAUCUCGAUCUCAUCGAGUGGAAUAACAAGAGUCUCUUCGGAUAAACACUUUUUCAAGUUCGACACGUGGAAGGUAGAAUGUGCGUUACUGAGUUCACGCGGUAGAUUGAGUUUGUAAGCUACAUGGCCGAUUCUUGCGAGAAUCUCGAAAGGCCCAAUGUAUCUUGGAUUGAGCUUCCCAUGCUUUCUAAAGCGUAUCAAGCCCUUCCAGGGUGAGACCUUUAGUAGAACUCGGUCGCCCACCUGGAAUUCCAACGGUUUCCUUCGCUUGUCUGCGUAGCUUUUCUUUCGGUCUCUAGAGGCUUUCAAUCAUUCACGAAUUUGAAUGAUCUUUUCUGUCGUUUCCCGAAUGAUUUCCGAACCCGUGAGAGUUCUUUGGGGAACUCGUCCCUUAGCUAACUGGGUAUCACCCACCUCAGCCCAGCACAGAGGAGAUCUGCACUUUCGGCCAUAGAGGGCCUCGAAUGGCGCUGCCUUUAUGCUCGUGUGAUAACUGUUGUUGUAGGAAAAUUCAACAAGGGGUAAAUGGAUAUCCCAAGCUUUCCCAAAGUCAAUCACACAGGCUCGCAACNGAUAGUUCUCUCACUUUGCCCGUCGGUCUGUGGAUGGUAGGCUGUACUCAUGUCCAGCCUAGUUCCUAGGGAACUUUGUAAUGACUGCCAGAACCUCGAAGUGAAUCUACUAUCUCGGUCCGAGAUGAUAGAUAAAGGAACACCGUGCAGCCUUACAAUCUCCCUAAUGUAAGUUCUGGUAAGUUUCUCCAUCUUGUCUGUUUCUUUGAUCGGUAGGAAGUGUGCAGACUUGGUCAGUCUAUCGACGAUGACCCAUAUGGAAUCAAGUCCACCCGUCGUCUUGGGCAACUUGGUUAUGAAAUCCAUAGUGAUCCGCUCCCAUUUCCAUUCUGGAAUCUCUGGUUGUUGCAAUAAACCAGAGGGCUUCUGGUACUCGACCUUCACCUUCGCGCAAGUAAGGCACUUACUUACGAAGGUAGCAAUAUCUGCUUUCAUGUUAGGUCACCAGUAUAGCUUUUUAAGAUCCAGAUACAUCUUAUCUGAACCCGGUUGGACGAAAUAACGAGUGUUGUGAGUGUCGGUCAUGACCAAGUCUCUAAAGCCACCAUGUUUCGGUGUCCAGAUCCGAUCCAUGAAGUAUAAGGCUCCACUACCAUUGACUUCCAAUUUCUUAUCCAUUCCUCUCCAGGAUUCACCUGCCACAUUUUCAGGUUUCAAAGCGUCGAGCUAAGCUUCCUUAAUUUGCAUGGACAAGUGUGAAUGGAUAUUUAGAGUCAAAGAUUUGACUCUACGACCAGUAUAUUCUUUCCGACUUAGGGCGUCGGCUACUACAUUGGCUUUACCCGGAUGAUAACGAAUUUCGCACUCGUAAUCACUGAGUAGCUCGACCCACCGUCGUUGUCUCAUGUUGAGCUCUUUCUGGUCGAAAAUGUGUUGUAGACUCUUAUGGUCUGUAAAGAUCGUGCUUUUUGUACCGUAUAGGUAAUGUCGCCAGAUCUUCAGAGCAAACACAACUGCUCCUAGUUCAAGAUCGUGGGUUGUGUAGUUAACCUCAUGUGUCUUCAGCUGUCUCGAGGCAUAGGCGAUGACUUUACCUCGCUGCAUCAGAACACAUCCGAGUCCUUGAUUGGAUGCAUCGCAAUAGACAAUGAAGUCUUCUAUUCCUUCGGGAAGGGAUAGUAUCGGGGCGGUGCACAAGGCUCGUUUGAGCGUUUGGAACGCUCUUUCCUGUUUCUCUUCCCAGUCAAAGGCCACGCCUUUCUGGGUCAGGGUUGUAAGAGGUUUCGCUAUGAGGGAGAAGUUCUGAAUGACCCUGCGAUAGUAGCCAGCGAGACCUAGAAAUUGACGAAUUUCUGUAGGUGUCUUCGGUGCUGGCCAGUUCUCAAUGGCCUUGAUUUUGAAAGGGUCCACGUGUAUUCCUUUUUCGCUAACAACAUGACCCAAGAACUCGACUCGUCGGAUCCAAAAUUCGCACUUGGAGAACUUCGCAUAGAGCUUCUCCGCUCGCAAUGUUUCUAAGACCAUACGGAGAUGUUGACUAUGUUCUUCCUUACUUCGAGAGUAGAUAAGUAAGGACGACACACCCUAUUCAUCAGGUCCAUGAAUACUGCGGGCGCGUUAGUUAAUCCGAACGGCAUCACCACAAACUCGUAGUGUCCAUAACGAGUUUGGAAGGUUGUCUUGGGAACAUCCUCCUCUAACACUCGCAGUUGGUGAUAUCUGGAUCGUAGAUCUAUCUUCGAGAAGUAGUUGGCUCCUUGAAGUUGAUCAAAUAAAUCGUCAAUGUGGGGCAAAGUAUAACGAUUUUUAAUGGUAAGUUUGUUGAGUUCUCUAUAGUCGAUGCACAUGUGAAACGAUCCAUCUUUCUUCUUGACGAACAAGACCGGUGCUCCCCAAGGUGAGAAGCUUGGUCGUAUGAAUCCCUUCUUGAGCAGUUCGUUAAGCUGACUGGAAAGUUCCUGCAUCUCGGCCGGUGCCAGACGAUAAGGAGAUUUGGCUACUGGAGUAGCUCCUGGCACUAAGUCGAUUUUGAAUUCGACUUGGCGUUGUGGUGGUAAUCCGGGAAGUUCUUCUGGGAAGAUGUCUGGAAAGUCGCGUACUUCUGGGAUGUUCUGAAUGUCUUUCAUUUCUUGACUUGUAUCAAUGACGUGCGUGAGGAAUGCAUGAUAUUCCUUUCGCAAGCACUUCUGGGCAUGAAUGCACGAAAUGAUGCGAAGGAUCGUACUAGGUUUGUCGCCAUAGAUAACUAAGGUUUCGUUGUUAGGAAGGUUAAGACGAACUGCUUUUUCAAAGCACACGAUGUCGGGGCGAAGAAGACUCAACCAAUCCAUGCCGAUGAUAACGUCGAAACAUUUAAUUGGGAGCGGCAUGAGGUCUAUCUUGAAAGUAUGGCCAUAUAAAGUUAACGUACAACCUACGAAUAUGCAGUUAGUACUCUCUGUUUUCCCGUUAGCCAUUUCUACCGUGAAUGAAUUAUCUAAUGCACGUGGUUUUUGUUUAAGCAGGUGUGCAAAUUUGUGACUUACGAAACUUUUCUCUGCUCCACUGUCGAAAAGUAUGCAAGCAUAUGAGUUAUCGAGGAGAAACGUACCAGUAACUAUCGUAGGAUCAGCUACCGCUUCCUCGUGGCCUAGGUCCAUAACUCUUCCUACUCCUCCAGCCAUCCAUGCUUUAGGGCAGUUCCUCUUGUAGUGGCCCACUUCGCCACAACCAUAGCAAGCUUGGCCCAUACCGGCAUUAGGAACCUGGGCGGCCUGAGCUGUUGUAGUCUUGCAGAAACGGGUUGUAUGCCCCUUCCUGUUGCAGUUAGAGCACUGCAUCUCCUUGCAAGGGCCGUGGUGGCGGAAGCUGCACUUGUUGCACUUCGGGAGAGUCCCAGCAUAAGUUUUUGAUGGUAAGGGGUUUACAGGGGCAACGGGAGUUACCGUGGCAGCAUUGAUUACCACAAGUUUUUGUCUCUUGGAGGAUUCCUACGAAGCCCCCCUCUUUCUCUUGUUCCACCCCUUCUUGUUGUCGUUGACCUUUUGUGGUACGGGUGCAGGGAUUGUUGGGUUCUGAGGUUUCCUGUGAUCGAUGAGAGAUUGUGCCAGCUCCUUGGCACUAUCAAAAGUGACAGGCUUGGAAGCUAACACACUUGACUGGAUCUAGGGCGACAGUCCCCAGAUGUAUCUCUCUAUUUUCUUGCUCUCGAGAGCAACCAUGUCAGGGCAUAGGAUUGCCAGAUCACAGAACCUAUUUGUGUAGGUUGAUAUGUCGGAUCCAACCAUUUGUAGACCUCAGAGUUCUUGCUCGAGUUUUUGUAUUUCACCUCGAGGACAGUACUCCCUGAUCAACAUGUCCUUCAAGUGUUCCCAGCUCAUGGAAUAUGCCACCACUAAAGUCAGAUACUUAACAUGGCCGUUCCACCAUGUUAAUGCUCUGUCAGAGAAGGUACAAGCUGCGAACUUGACCUUGUUGCCCUCCUGGCAAGCACAUAUUUCAAAGACAGAUUCCAUCUUUUCAAUCCAUUGCCUUAACACCAUAAUCCCACCAGUACCAUUGAAGCUACGGGGCUUGGCAUUCGUGAAGUCCUUAUAGGGGCAUUCCCGAGGGUGUCCAUGGCUUUCGCCGUGGUUCGAGGGAGGUGCACCUUUUCCUGAUCCACUAGGGACAGGGGCGUUGAUGGCUGACACAGCAGCUACAACUGUUGUUGCGAAAGCUGCCUGGAACAUAGUGACAUCGAAGGGAGGAGGUGGUUGAGGAGGUUGAGAUGGUGGUGGAGGUGGUGGUAUCGGUGUUUCUUUGAUGGGGUUACGUCUGGGAUUUCUGUGUGGCGGAAUCUUUAACAAAGUUUUUACAUAAACUAGGUUAUAUCCAAAAGACAAGUCGUCGAGAUUCUAUCGGCAACGAGAACUGCUAGCAUGAGUUCUUGAUCCCGACAGUAGACGUUCCAUGUCCCUCAUACGCCUGUCAGCUCUCACUUGCUGAGCUCGAAGUUCCCUAACUUCGGCUUAAGUUUCAGCAAGUUCCCUCCGCAGAGCUGCAUUGUGGACCAGAGUCCUUUCAUGAGCAGACUCUAGUUGGUGAAUGCGGACUGUGUUGACGCCAGAGUUGGCAUCAAUCUCCAAGACUCGAUUGAUAGUUAAUUGACCCAGUAUCGUGUUCCUAUAAAUUCUACGAACCAUGAUGGGUAAGACCCUGUCAGCAUAUCCUCCCUUAGUGAGGUUGUAGAAACUUCUGUGUCCGUUGUAGGGAAUGGGUUGACCCUGUUCCUGACUCCAUCUAUUCAAGUUAGUGGCCCACAGAGGUGUGGGUCCUUGAAAUGCGGGACGAGGGUUCAGGUUUGGAUCUUGAGCAGCUGGGGGUAGGUUGUUGACUUCAGGCUCCGAGUCAGAACUAUCGGAAAAACCCUCAGCAUGGUGAUCGUCCAAAGGGAUUGGGUGAUCAUCUUCUAGUUCUUACUCUAGCCAUCCAGCGUUGCCUUGGUUUGGAAAGUACAGAUCGCCAUGGUGAAAUCCAGCCAUUUAAAAUCUACGCGAGAAAAGGGAUAUAAGAAAUAGCUAAAAUAGAUGAACUGACUAAGAUAGUUACAGUAAGACUAAAUACCCCUAUGGUAUUACUUUAUGGUUGUGUUGGUAAGUUUUUAGACUUGUUGCCACAUCACAACCAUUCUUGGGCAUAUGCUAAUCACUCCUUGGACCACCAAAGUUGAUCAGGCUAUGUCAUUCCCAAGACUGACCAUAUAUCCCCAGGCUUACUUGUGAUAUUCAACAAUCGUAAUACUUUUGUUCUGGUCAUUGUGACACUGAUUUUAGUAUGAAUGCAGGCACAUAUACUUACUUAAAUUUUUUUUAUUAUUUAAAAGUAUAACUAUUAGACAGAGUGUUUUAAUCCCAAUGUAUUUAUAGUUAGUAUAUCUUUUAUGGGUUGAUAUACUAUAUUCACUAUAAACAAUUCUCUGAUACCAAUCUGUCACACCCCAAAACCAAGAACGGCGGAAACGUUCCGGGAUGGAGGACAUCAUGUACAGUAUCACAAACAACGUAAAGUAGUAAACAAGCAACAACAUCAUCCAUUGCAUUAAAAGUAAAGUUUUUAAUACAUGUGUGUUCUUUCAAUGUAAAAAGACACCAAAAAUACAAUCAAAAUAAAAGACGAGUCUUGUCUGUGCUCCGUCUUCUCAAAACCUGGCCACCGUACCUGUCUACUGGUGACCUGAGAAUACAAGUUAUUUUGAAAUCGAGUAUCAGCUUAAAGCUGGUGAAUUCAUAAGUAAUUAAGUGUCAUUGUCUUGUUUUGGAAAAACUGUUAUGAAUGCCCUGUAAAUCUUUAAAUGAAACGGUUGAUGUAAGUAAUGAAAAACCCUAGAAAAUCCCUUAUUUCCUACUAGUAUGAAAUGUAGUCUUCUACCAAGACCUGAAUGUUUUGUAAGUAAAAUGAUAGUUUUUCCCUGCUAAUGACUAAUACUUAAACUACUUAGUCUAACUCCUCGUUUAUGUGAAUGUAUCACCAAAUAAAGUAAUAGGAAAAUGUACUAAUGUAAUUGUUAUCCUUUUUGUACGAGGAUUAACACGACAUCGCAAUUACCGAAAUGUAUAACCUUUGAACAUCCGUAGAUUUUUCAAUUGUCCUCUGUAGCUGCAGCAGGGCGGAGGAAGGGUUAGUCCCGUAAAGGUACUCCUAUUAUAAGUAUUAACCGUAGGCAUCCGUAAAUGUUCAUCGACCUCUAUAGCGAAUAGUAGGCCCGAGGAAUGGUUAGUCCCGUAAAGGUACUCCUAUUAUAAGUAUUAACCGUAGGCAUCCGUAAAUGUUCAUCGACCUCUAUAGCGAAUAGUAGGCCCGAGGAAUGGUUAGUCCCGUCUAGAUAUCCCGUUGAACUGGGAUAGGCAGGACAAUUUACACAAAAGGUACUAACAAAUCAUCUCAAUGAAUCGAGGUACAAGUAUCCAUGUAAAUGUAUACAGGAAAAUGUAUCUACGUAAAGGUACUCAUGUAAUGUAUUCAUGUAAGGUACUCAUGUAAUGUAUUCACGUAAGGUACUCAAGUAAUGUAUUCAUGUAAGGUACUCAUGUAAUGUAUUCAUGUAAGGUACUCAUGUAAUGUAUUGUAUAGACUAAUGAAUAAACUGACUCUGAUGUCAUUCCUUGUAAUAAGAAUAAUGUUUUGUAUCUUCUAACUAUCCCUAUAAUAGUUAACUGGAAGGUAAUUGGUUGUCCAAGUAGGUUAAAAAUGGUUAUGUAAAACAUCUAAGAGUUUUGAGCAAUAAGUAACAAUGACUUGAUGUCACUUUAAUAAACAUUUCAAACGUAAUACUGUUGCUAUCAAGGUAUUUUUUAAGAUAUAAAACCAUUUCAUGCAUCACGUUUUGUAGUAUGUGAAAUCUACUAAAUGAAACACAGUUAUAAAUACAUAUGAUUGAUUAAAUAACAUGUUGUUUUCUACCUGUAUCCCCCUUAUUAAAGAUUAAAAUUAUUUAAAACAUUGAUUAAGGGGUAUGAACUCACUUGUGGUGAGUGGAUUGGAUUGAAGUGUCGGUUACGGUGCUAGGUGACAAAUGAAGACUUAUACACACGCACGAGCCUAGUUAUCAUAUAAUGAACAUAUAUAUAACUAAUUAGCCAAUUUAUAACUAAUAAAUUAACUUGGGGCACCCUAGAACAUGAAAACACUUUGUUUCAAGUGCUAAAGAUCACAAGGAUUGCAUCAAAGUGUUGGUAGGGCAAACCUAGUGUGUUUGGAGUCCAAGGGUAAACCCCCUUGGAGUUUACGGUUUUUAUGGUCAAGACCUAGGGAGUUUACGGCAGUAAAGUCUAGAGUUUACGGUCGUAAACUCUAGUCUUAAUGUCCAAGUGUUGUUUUGUGGUUUAGCAAGCCUUUUGAAGCAAUUCUAGUAAGUGGUUUGGCCUUUGGAAGGGACUAGGGCAACAAAACACCUCCUUUGAGGAGUUUACGGCCUAAUGGCAUUUUCCUUUGGGUUUACUACCGUAAACCCUUAUGGAGAAGUGUAUUUCCAUGUUUUCAAGUCCCUAACACAAUUAGGUAAGUGUAUGUGCUAGUUUUUAAGCCUAAGGAAGGAAAAUAACCCAUUUAGACACACUUUAGGGUGUUUACGGUUUUGGGAGAUCCCCAAACCGUAAACACCUAUACAUGUUGCAUUUUGGUGUUUUUCAAGGCUUAGAUACAUCAAAGGAAGGUUUAAUCAAUUCAUGGAAGGCUUAAACAUCAAACUUGGGCUUAGAUAAGGACUUAGGCACACUUUGAUGCUCUUUUUGGUGUUUACGGUCCAAGCAUCUCCUUGGACCGUGAACACCUAUAUCCUUGUGUUCUUGACAAAUUUCCUUGAUAUUCAAAUGUAAUACUAGCUUAAAAUCACUCAAGGAUGAAAGCACUUACUAUUAGAAGGCUUGAUUUGAGCUAAAAUGCCAAGAACACCUAGUGUGUGUUCUUGGUGUUUUGGAAAUCUAGUCAAAAUACAAAAGUGAAUGGAUGAAUAGAUGCACAAACACUAGAUUAAGUGUUUAAUCAACCUGAAAUGGAUAGAACACUUACAACUUGGAAGAUCUUGAAUUGUUUCUAGUUUGCUACUUGAGAGGUUUUAUUGAGUUUACUCUUUUGGGAGUUUACUCUUUUGGAUAAAUGGGGAGUAAGCUAAUAUUGACUAGACUUAGGGAAUAAACUCAUGGAUAAGCAUGAUGUGACAACCCGAAAUUUCCAUUGUACGAACAUCAUCUAUUCAAUAGAAGCUAGUUCAGUUUCAGUGAUUUUCAAGCUUUUCCGAACAAGUUUGUGUACAUUAGGGUUUAUGUUUUAGAUGAUAUCAGGAGAGUGGAUACUCCUGGUUUUGUGAAACUUGGGCAUUUCAAGUUUCAUACUCUGACAGUCCAACAUCAGGAAUAAAAAGAUUUUCUGCCAAAAUAUUCCNNNNNNNNNNNNNNNNNNNNNNNNNNNNNNNNNNNNNNNNNNNNNNNNNNNNNNNNNNNNNNNNNNNNNNNNNNNNNNNNNNNNNNNNNNNNNNNNNNNNCGCCCCAGAAAGUUUCCGCCGUUCUUGGUUUUGGGGUGUGACACAUGAGUUUACGGAUUUUAGGAUGAUUUUUCGACCCAAAUGAAAUAGUUUGGCCGGGAAUUUCUAAGACGCGCGGUGUUUGCGGUUUUUAAAUUUAAAAACCCGAGACCGCACUUUCUUACACCUGUUCGUUUAAAGAAUAAUAUUAAAAUAAUCAAACUAACUCCAAAUUUAUUAAAAUAAG